AUCGCUUCUCGGCCUUUUGGCUAAGAUCAAGUGUAGUAUCUUCUGUUUCAUCUGCUAGUGCAGUCUGUAUAUAGUAUACAGUAUUUGAAAAUGUUAAAUGCUUUCAUGUUUCUUCCUAUUGUACUCUGUGUGUUCCUACCGGUAGAUAAAAUAAUUUCUAAACUUCUAAAAUAAUUUAUUCUAA
This is a small nuclear RNA of Protobothrops mucrosquamatus (brown spotted pit viper), 184 nucleotides long. RefSeq annotates it as U2 spliceosomal RNA. The transcript has a single exon. Lineage: Eukaryota; Metazoa; Chordata; Lepidosauria; Squamata; Viperidae. The record is from RefSeq and is a predicted model, not a curated record.